Long non-coding RNA from Haliotis rufescens (red abalone), 438 nucleotides. RefSeq lists it as uncharacterized. The transcript is spliced from 3 exons. The record is from RefSeq and is a predicted model, not a curated record. NCBI's taxonomy places the organism in Eukaryota, Metazoa, Mollusca, Gastropoda, Lepetellida, Haliotidae.
AAAAAACAUCAGACCAGGAUCCAGCUUGAGCUCUGUGAGGUGAAGCACUUCGUCCACGACCAUGCACAUGCAACACGUCUUCCUCAUCCUUGUCGUAGCUGUUGCCGCCUCUAGCGGGUACAGAUUGCCCAAGUACUGGAGGAACUUUGCUCAAUAUAACUACAUGAGUGACAUGGAUACACCUGACUACAUGGACGACGACUACAACUCCAUGUACAUGUAUGGAAUAGGAUGGGGCUAUCGCAAUACUGGGCGGGGCUACAACAACUUUUUCGGGAGAUACAACAGAUAUAACACAUUUGACAACCUGUUCUGAGGUAAGACGAGAAGACAUCUUUUCCAAUUGUUCAUCUACCCCUUUGGAAACUCAUAUAUGAAUUACAGAUGAAACGACUGGGAACAAAUGAACAUACCACUUGUCAAUGACUGAAUAAAAUA